Molecule: ribosomal RNA, 376 nt
Filed under: uncultured bacterium
Lineage: Bacteria
Description: bacterial SSU rRNA
Rfam family: Bacterial small subunit ribosomal RNA
Source: RNAcentral
UAAGACGAACCGUGCGAACGUUGUUCGGAUUCACUGGGCUUAAAGGGCGCGUAGGCGGGUGGUCAAGUCAGAGGUGAAAUCCUCCAGCUUAACUGGAGAAGUGCCCCUGAUACUGGCCAUCUCGAGGGAGGUAGGGGCAUGUGGAACUUCCGGUGGAGCGGUGAAAUGCGUAGAUAUCGGAAGGAACGCCGGUGGCGAAAGCGACGUGCUGGACCUCUUCUGACGCUGAGGCGCGAAAGCCAGGGGAGCAAACGGGAUUAGAUACCCCGGUAGUCCUGGCCCUAAACGAUGGGUACUAGGUUGUGGACUGAUCAUGGGUUCACAGCCGAAGCAAAAGUGUUAAGUACCCCGCCUGGGGAGUAUGGUCGCAAGGCUG